Long non-coding RNA from Physella acuta, 202 nucleotides. RefSeq lists it as uncharacterized. The record is from RefSeq and is a predicted model, not a curated record. Lineage: Eukaryota; Metazoa; Mollusca; Gastropoda; Physidae.
CGCCAACCACAUCAGCACCAGGAACGUCACCUCCCAAACCAACUAAAAAGCCGUCGGAAUGCGACAAGGUGGAUUUAAGUAAAACGCGAUAUGGGUUUUUGACUCCUCUGUUCGCUCAUCGGGACUAUAAGAAAAAAUCAUCCUGGCGACACGGACGUACAAGAAACCUGACCAGACCUUAAUUAUGAUUCAUAAAUCAGGU